GNCUACCUGCCGCCAUGGCGCGCGCCGCCGGCUCAACCGUCCCGCGCGGCCGCCGCCAAUCCGCGCGCGUCACGCGUCACAUGACCCCCUCCCGGCCACGCCCCCUCGGACGCGCGGGGAAUGUCCCCCCGCGGCCACCGUCUCGGGGGGCGGGUGUAUGUCUCUAUGUGUGUGUCUGCCUCUGUCUGUCUGUCUGUCUGUGUCUCUAUCUGUCUGUGUCCGUGUGUGUGUGUGCCUCUGUCUCUGUGCGGGUGUCUGUCUCUCUUUGUGUGUCUGUCUGUGUGUGUCUCUCCAUCUGUCUCUGUGUGUCUGCGCCUGUGUGUCUGUGUGUGUCUGUCUGUCUGUGCCUCUCUGUGUCUGCGCCUGUAUGUCUGUGUGUCUGUGUGUGUGUGUCUGUCUGUCUGUGCCUCUGUAUGUCUCUGUGUGUCUGCGCCUGUAUGUCUGUGUGUGUGUGUGUCUGUGCCUCUGUAUGUCUCUGUGUGUCUGCGCCUGUGUGUGUGUGUGUCUGUCUGUGCCUCUGUGUGUCUCUGUGUGUCUGCCUGUGCCUCUGUGUCUCUCGUGUGUGUGUGUGUCCAUGUGUGUCUCUGUGUGUCUGUCUGUGCCUGUGUCUCUCUGUCUGUUUCUGUCCGUGUGCAUCUGUCUCUGUGGGUGUGUGUAUGUGUGUCUCUGUCUGUCUGUGUGUGUCUCUGUGUGUGUGUGUCUGGGUGUCUGUCUGUGUUUGUAUGAGUGUGUGUAUAUCUGUGUGUAUAUGUGUCUGUCUGUCUGUGUGUGUCUCUCUGCGUCUGUCUAUCUGUCUGUCUCUGUCUGUCUGUGCCUCUGUGUGUGUCUCUCUAGGUCUGUGUCUGUGUGUGUGUGUCUGUCUGUGUCUCUCUGUCUGUCUGUCUGUGUGUCUCUCUGUCUGUCUCUGUAUGUGUGUCUGUGUCUGUGUGUCUCUCUGUCUGUCUCUGUGUGUGUGUCUGUCUGUGUGUGUCUCUUGGUGUGUGUCUGUGUCUCUGUGUGUCUGUGUCUGCCUGUGCCUCUGUGUCUCUGUCUGUCUCUUGUGGGUGUGUGUAUGUGUGUGUCUCUGUCUGUCUCUUGUGGGUGUGUGUAUGUGUGUGUCUCUGUCUGUCUCUUGUGGGUGUGUGUAUGUGUGUCUCUCUGUCUGUCUCUGUGUGUGUGUGUGUCUGUGUCUGUAUGAGCGUGUGUCUGUCUGUCUGUGUCUGUAUGAGCGUGUGUCUGUCUGUAUGUGUCUAUCUGUCUGUGUGUGUCUCUCUGUCUUCGUGUGUGUCUGUCUGUGUGUAUGUGUGUCUCUCAUCUGUGUGUGUGUAUGUGUGUGUGUGUGUGUAUGUGUGUGUGUGUGUGUGUGUCUGUCUUCCCGGGGGGUUGUUCCGCUGCUCCCGGUGGGUUGGGACGGUGAUGGGGAUAGAAGUGGAGACGAGCCCUCAGUGGGAGUGGGGGGGUUUAUGUGUAAGGGGGUU
This 1457-nucleotide long non-coding RNA is filed under the name Calidris pygmaea (Spoon-billed sandpiper). Its description in RNAcentral is "lncRNA (ENSCPGG00000009375.1)". The record is from RNAcentral. Lineage: Eukaryota; Metazoa; Chordata; Aves; Charadriiformes; Scolopacidae.